CUCCACCUUUCAUUCUACUUAACUUUUGACAAGAUAUUUUUUCUUGUUUGUGGGAUCCUCUUCCUCCACCUUUUUUUGACUUUUUAUCUUUACCCCAAUACAAAUAACACAAAGAGGAGUUAAGAAAUCUAUCAAGAAAGAGUGGGAAAGCAAAGAUAGAGAGAACAAAAAUGGAGUGGAAAAAAAUUGCUUUAGUUGCAAUGAUGGGGAUGUUGCUUAUGGCUACUUUUACAGAGUCAGUCGGUUUGGGCGUGGAUGAGGAGAUCAUUCAAUUAGUUUCCGACGGAGUGAAUGAGUACUCACAAAAUAUUGGAAAGGAUACUGCACCCGGCUGCCCUCGAAUCCUUAUGAAGUGUAAAACCGACAGCGAUUGCUACCCUGGCUGUACUUGCAAACCGAUGGGCUAUUGUGGUUGACUCCUAGCCGUGUCGUUUCGGAUCUUCUACUGUGUCCUUGUUUGUGUGUGUUUGAUUUCUAUUUUAUGAAAAUAAAUGCAUGGUUUUGUGUGUCUUUCUCAUCACUCUUUUCUCUCCUGUCUAUGAGUUAGUGUGAUCAUAUCAGUGGCAUGCUUGAUAUCCCAUCAAGCUGUUUUGUUGUAAUAUUUAUUAUGUUUUCUAUCUCACUAUGGUCUUUGAGGAUAUCUUCCCUAUCUCCUUCCAUGAACUUUAAGUUUCAUUUUCUUUAACCAUUCUUCCAUAAAUUUAAAGUUUUAUUUUUUUUAACCAUUAAAUACUCAAAGAUUAACCGUUGAAUCAGUAUUUUGUUGGCCAAGCAACUUGCCAGUCCACUGAUGGAAGCAUGGAUUAUUUGGGUAAGUAAUUAUUUAGUUUGACUGGGAAAUAUUGAAGAAAUAUGGUUCAAUGGUGAGUUUAGUUUGUGGGGCAAGCUAAAACUCCCUCUCUAAUAUGUGGGGUUUGGAGGUGUAAGUUUUUUCUAAGAAGUUUGGGUGUGUUGUGUUACCCUUUUUAUUUGGCUCCUUUGCUGUGUACGGGGGGGACGAGUGUCGACAUUAUGGAUCUAAUGUAUGAGGCUAUCUUGGGUUAUUUCUUAAAUUGUGCUUACUUCGGUUGUGGAAGACUAGAUACUUGGCCGAAGCAGUUAUUUGAACUCCAUAAACAUUUCGAGUACUCUUCACUAAACCUCCCUCUCUCUCCAAUAUAAUAUCGCAUCAACUCCAUGAGAAAGUCCUUCAACAUUUGCUAUUGCACCAAAACCACAUUUUUGCUCUUCCAUUUUGGCCAACUACCGACUACGAAGUAGAUGACUGGGUUAAUGAUAAUUAUGUUUUAGGUACACGACUUUAUAACACCAUUUUUUAGAUUUCUUUGGCAAGUACUGUGGCUAGUUUUUCCAUAUUAUUUUAAAAAAUAUAACUUAACCCUCUCGAGAUGAUAAACAGUUUUUUAAUGUUUCGUUGAAUUAGGUUUGAUAUAUUCACUAAUUUUGAGGAGUUCUUGAAGCAAUCUUUCUUAUAUUUGAAAUAAUAGUAAAAAUAAACAAGGUUUGGACCAUAACCCUUUUCCUAAUCUCCUAAAUCUCCAUCUCAAACACACAGCCCUUAAUAUUCUUGGAGUUUGAUAUAUAUAACAUUAAACUAUAUGAUUAAAUAUUAUACUUGAUCAAACGUAAUAUUUACGGUGAAAAUUGAUAUUUUCGUAAAAAAAAUUCAUUGAUAAAUCAAUCAAUAAUUAGUUUCAAUGCAGAGUUCUCUACACCACUGAGAAUCUCAUCUCCAGCAUCAAGGUUUUACUUUUCAUGAUAGUUCUCAAACGCUUCUACAAAUUUUACUAAUUAUUUGGUGAUCAGUUGAAGGAUAAGAAAUAUAAUGAUGAAGAUAGAUAGAUUAUUGAAUAGAUGAUCAAAACUUUCAGAAAUUUCAGUGUUGACUGGUCACACUUCUCAAGGUACUAAGAUCUACUACAAGUCCGUUGCUAUUGUUAUUUAUUUUAGUUAACUUUGAGGAUAAAAACUAGGAGGUGGUUUAAAAGAUGAUCUAUUACAAAUAUAAAUUAAAUAUGCAGUGGGAUAAGAUAGGAUCAGGACGUCUGCUCAAACUAGACUAUAAAAUAAUUAUACACUAGUUAACAGAGAUAAAUAUACAAAUGAGAGUGUAAUUUUAACUUUUACCAUGCUUCAAGGAUGGUAUUUGCAAUUUAUUUCUUUUCUACUUUGAGCAUCUUAACCUCGAAAAUAUAAAUAACAGUGUAUUUAAAUAACUAAAUUUCCAUGUUUUGUUUUCCUAGUUGUUACACACCAAAUCAUCCCACUACAGACCCUCCUCGUUUUUCUUACAUAAUUCUUAAUUAUUUAUUCUGAGUGAUAUCAAAUAAAUAAGGGGUUUCUUUAUAAUAAAAAAUACAAAUCAAUGGUCCCUUUUUUUCUUUUUUCUUUUUUUUACAAUUUCUCAAUAAAAAUAAUGCACCCAAAUGAGUUGUUCUCUCUAUAAAUAUAGAGAGUUGAGAUCAUUGAGAUGGUGUCAAGAAAGAGAGAGAAGCAAAGAAGGAAAAAAUAAUGGAGUGGAAAAAAGUUGCUUUAGUUGCAAUGAUGGGGAUGUUGCUUAUGGCUACUUUUACAGAGUCAGUCGGUUUGGGCGUGGAUGAGGAGAUCAUUCAAUUAGUUUCGGACGGGCUGAAUGAGUACUCACAAAAUAUUGGAAAGGAAACUGUAGGCUGCCCUCGAAUCCUUAUGCCGUGUAAAUCCGACCACGACUGCUUAAGUGGCUGCACUUGCAAACGAAACGGCUAUUGUGGUUGACUCCUAGCCGUGAUGUUUCGUUCGGAUCUUCUACGGUGUCUUUGUUUGUGUGUGUUUUCUAUUUUAUGAAAAUAAAUGCAUGGUUGUUGUGUGUCUUUCUCAUCACUCUUUUCUCUCGUGUGUAUGAGUUAGUGUGAUCAUAUCAGUGGCAUGCCUGAUAUCCCAUCAAGCUGUUUUGUUGUAAUAUUUAUUAUGCUCUCUAUCUCACUAUGGUCUUUGAGGAUAUCUUCCCUAUCUCCUUCCAUCAACUUUAAGUUUCAUUUUCUUUAACCAUUCUUCCAUGAAUUUAAAGUUUUAUUUUUUUUAACCAUUAAAUACUCAAAGAUUAACUGUUAAUCACUCAAAAUUCAUUUUUUUUAAACUAUAGUUUUGAGUGUUUAUCAUAUACUACAUCAUUUUAUAUAACAAACAC
Molecule: long non-coding RNA, 3166 nt
Filed under: Cucumis sativus (cucumber)
Lineage: Eukaryota; Viridiplantae; Streptophyta; Magnoliopsida; Cucurbitales; Cucurbitaceae
Description: long non-coding RNA (CSAT_LNC001358)
Source: RNAcentral